This is a long non-coding RNA of Lates calcarifer (barramundi perch), 1073 nucleotides long. RefSeq lists it as uncharacterized. Lineage: Eukaryota; Metazoa; Chordata; Actinopteri; Centropomidae. The record is from RefSeq and is a predicted model, not a curated record. The transcript has 3 exons.
CACAAAGUUUUAUUUUGAUAACUUGUAAAGUAACGUGAACUGAAAUUAGCAGACAGAUCAGGUCUUUGUGUCCUGGAGGGUUCAGGUCAUUAUUCAGUUCUACGUGGGUCUGAGUCGAGCUUCAGAGUAAUACACGAGUCCGGUUUGGGUCCGACUUCACUCGGUUCUGUUUUAUUCUGGGUCAGGAGUAAAAGUUAAAGACGUGUCCGGCUCAGUUUGGCGGUGUGUUAACCUCGUAUAUAAUCAGUGUAUGUGCUCACUGGUCUCUGUGCUGUAGUCUGAUGGUGUUGGUCUUACGUUGGUGUAUAUUGGCUUUGAACAGGACGUUUUAUAAAUGUGGUGCUGAGGCCUGUUUGUGUGUUUUUCUAGUUUUAUGAGAAAGAUGGAACUUCUACACCUCUGAGGAUGAACAGGACCUCCACCUCCACCCUGCUGUCUCUCUCUGACCGGUGAGUGUAGCUUGAUUCAGAGAGGAACGAGGCUUAGACCUCUGUUAUCUGACACAAACAUAUUUACAUACAUCAACUGUCCUGUGUUUUUGAGAGACUGAAGAACAGUUUAAUGUCCUGGGAACAGAUCCGCAUGUUAUUCUGUGAUUACUGGCAGAGGAGUUGGAUGACAGCAGCGCUCAGGAGACGGCCGUUCUCUCUGUGGAUGUGAGGCAUGGUCCCGGCAUGAAGAGAUUCUAUAGAAGCAGGAGGACACAGUGAGAAGAACUCUUCUGGAGGAAAUAUUCAGAACCUCUGAGGAAGCGCCCUUUUGUGCAGCUGCGAUUCUGUUGGACCCAUGUUUCAUAGACAGGGACAAGAGGCCAGUGAAACAUAGGCAGAACAGGUGUGGAUAGACAUCAGGUCCAUUCAAAGUCCAGAAUGAAUCUGAUUCCAGUUCAGUCAGAGUGAGUAAAGAUGUCUGUCCUCAGUGUUUAUGUGAUUGACAGUGGCAAAGGAAAUAACAGAGUAAAACUGAGAUAUUUAGACUAAACACAAACCCAUAUCUCUGUUCAAACUAUGUCUCCUGUUCACUGAUACAAAGUGAGACUUUACAGAGUAACAAAGCUUAACAGUAACAAUCAG